Non-coding RNA from Spinacia oleracea (spinach), 105 nucleotides. NCBI's taxonomy places the organism in Eukaryota, Viridiplantae, Streptophyta, Magnoliopsida, Caryophyllales, Amaranthaceae. The record is from Rfam.
AUUGAGUACUUGCUUCUGCUAUAACAAUGGACAGUUAAUAACGUGUGGGUGUUGAGAUGGGCCUUUUUUGAGUUUAGGAUGCCCUUGUAUGACCCACAUACAGUC